UCCACUGUAAAUUGAACAUUUUCCCAAACAUUCAACCUGCUCAAAAUUCACAGUUUAAGGUACCCAACCAGCAGCGUGCUUUAAAGCGAAUAAACAGUUUACAACAAAGGCCUCCGGCCUCAUAAAUCAAACCCUAGCAAGGGCGAUAACAGAGCAUAUCUAAGGAAUUCAAUUACAACAAAAAUGAAUGAAGGAGUCCUACGAAGGCUCAAGGCUCGUAAUCACACGAUCCGGCUCAGCUGCGGAGCUCAGCCAACUACUGGCUGGGGGGCGCAAAAUAGAAAAAUGUGAGUGGACAAAAAUAAAGUUCAGUUCAGUGUAAACCAACAUAAUAUAACCCCCACUGUUUAAUAAACCAUGCAAGAAAUCCAAAUGCAUCCCAAACCAUCAUAAUCAAAUAAAUAUUUAUAUACAUGUCAAAACCAAACCAAUACCGGAUGCCAAGUCCGAAAUCCAAACAGAACACUAUACAAACCCACAAAUUAAAUAUUAUAAGUCCCAAACUAAACUCUCAAAAGCGUACCCAUUGGCACGACCGGCAAGGAAGUAUCCUCACCGAAAAACAAGAAUGAAUAAAUAGUUAUAUAUAUAUAUAUAUGUAAAUAUAUAUAAUAUAAGAGAGAUAUAUAUAUAUAAUAUAAUUAUGACCAACACCUAGUUAUAUUGGGGAAAUAAUCCAAUCGGGGGAUUGUUUGACUAGUCACCAUGGCAGAGUCCCCAUGAAGAGUCCUCAAUUCACCAUGUAAAUAUGAAGAUAUAGUAAAUAUAUGUAAUAAGAGGUUGUUUAAUUACCUCAAGAGUUGGAUUUGACGAACAGUUCCACAAUAAGAGAAGAAGGUGUUCAACUCUGCAAGAGUUGUUCUUAGAGAAAGGUUGAGAACCUGAACAGUCAUCGAAUCCCCUGCUCCCAUUAUUAUUAUGUUCACACUUCUGAUUCAUUGUGUUAAGUGACUGGCUG
RNAcentral lists this long non-coding RNA (958 nucleotides) under Prunus persica (peach). RNAcentral describes it as "long non-coding RNA (PPER_LNC001091)". The record is from RNAcentral. Lineage: Eukaryota; Viridiplantae; Streptophyta; Magnoliopsida; Rosales; Rosaceae.